Molecule: ribosomal RNA, 482 nt
Filed under: Natrialba aegyptia
Lineage: Archaea; Methanobacteriati; Methanobacteriota; Halobacteria; Halobacteriales; Natrialbaceae
Description: bacterial SSU rRNA
Rfam family: Archaeal small subunit ribosomal RNA
Source: RNAcentral
AGCUCAGUAACACGUGGCCAAACUACCCUAUAGAUCCGGCCAACCUCGGGAAACUGAGGCUAAUCCGGGAUAACGCUUUCAGCCUGGAGUGGCGAGAGCGUGAAACGCUCCGGCGCUAUAGGAUGUGGCUGCGGCCGAUUAGGUAGACGGUGGGGUAACGGCCCACCGUGCCAGUAAUCGGUACGGGUUGUGAGAGCAAGAGCCCGGAGACGGUAUCUGAGACAAGAUACCGGGCCCUACGGGGCGCAGCAGGCGCGAAACCUUUACACUGCACGCGAGUGCGAUAAGGGGACUCCAGGUGCGAGGGCAUAUAGUCCUCGCUUUUCUCGACCGUAGGGAGGUCGAGGAACAAGUGCUGGGCAAGACCGGUGCCAGCCGCCGCGGUAAUACCGGCAGCACAAGUGAUGACCGCUGUUAUUGGGCCUAAAGCGUCCGUAGCUGGCCAGACAAGUUCAUCGGGAAAUCUGCGCGCCUAACGCGCA